This 52-nucleotide transfer RNA is filed under the name Caprella acanthogaster. Its description in RNAcentral is "tRNA-Ser". Lineage: Eukaryota; Metazoa; Arthropoda; Malacostraca; Amphipoda; Caprellidae. The record is from RNAcentral.
AGUUUAUCACCGUUGCUUUGAAAGCAAUAAAAAGAAAUGUUUCUAUAAACUU